Molecule: long non-coding RNA, 468 nt
Filed under: Solanum tuberosum (potato)
Lineage: Eukaryota; Viridiplantae; Streptophyta; Magnoliopsida; Solanales; Solanaceae
Description: long non-coding RNA (STUB_LNC001993)
Source: RNAcentral
UUCUUCUUCCCCUCUUCUUCUCUUCUUCACUCAAGAACCCUAACUCUUACUCUUUUAAAAUGGAACAAAAAUGAUCCACAAUCAGCCUAACACAAUAAUAUAACCUCAAAAGAAAAGAUUUGUGAAAAGACCAAAAUGCCCUUAAAUUUCCGGACGGACUCCUUGCUAACUGCCCAACUUUCAAAGGGCAUAACUCGCUCAUACGAACUCGGAAUCGAGCAAACUCGGUGGCGUUGGAAAGAUCGUUCCAAGGGCUUUCCAAAAAUAACUGGAACUACUCCUAGAUCAUCCUGAGCUAGGAGUUAUGACUGCUCAAAGUUGGCCAAAAACUCACUGAUUUCCCACACUUAACCAAAUUUCCAGGUUCUGAACUUUUUCCAAAAGUGACUACUUCCAAUUUCAAGCUACUUCAUAUUCAUUUUAAAUUGUCGGAUGUAACACAAUUAAAAUGAAAUUACAUAAAAACCC